This 2494-nucleotide long non-coding RNA is filed under the name Nicotiana benthamiana. Its description in RNAcentral is "long non-coding RNA (NBEN_LNC010017)". Lineage: Eukaryota; Viridiplantae; Streptophyta; Magnoliopsida; Solanales; Solanaceae. The record is from RNAcentral.
AAAAAGCCGCCUCCUUUGAAUUCUCUUCGUCUCUCAGAUUCUCUCGAACCUCUCCGAAACACUAAUCGCCUCCCACAUGUUCCUACCUCGUUUCCACCGGAAUCCAUGGCAUCUCGGUCAUGGAUGGUCUGUACUCACUCUCUCUUACCACAAAGCCUAGGUUACUCAAAGGCUGGAGGCCUAACCCCAAUGGUCCUCCUUCUGAUCAGUCUCAGAUCUGUAGAUCUAUGGUUUCUCCAGCCAUGCUCUAGCAUAUUCAAGCAUUAGAGGCCUAAUUCCUGACAUGCUCGACUCAGGAUCUGAUGUCAAGCCUUUCUCGUUUCUAGGGUUUCUCUGAAUCCUAAGUUAUUCGAGGUUCUUUAUUUGUUGGUUUGCCUAGAUCUAUGCUGAAUCUAUGCUCUACUUGACAUAUCAAAAGUUUCUUUUGGUUUUCCCCAAAAGUUUCUUUUCAAAUUUGUUUCUCUUCGAUUUUAGGGUUUGUGAAAGGAUUUUUUGAAAGAAAAUCUUUCUGAUUCUUCUUCUUCUCUGCUUUAUAUUUGUUUGCCCAUACCCUGUUCGUAUGAUUUCUUUUAUUUUUGCAUGUGCUUCCUUCCACCUUUUCUUUCCUGCUAUGCGUGUUAUUCCUGUUAAUCCUUGCUUAAUUUUCUUUACUCUUUUACUAUGUGUGUUUACCAUUAAGAUUAUUUGAUUUAAUUUAUUGGACUCUGGUCAUUUUCCUACAUGCUUCGUCUAUUUGUGUUCACAUUUUUAUUAUCUCCUUCUUCUGAACUUGUUUAGUUUCCAAGUUUUCUCAAAUAUGUUCUUCAUGACUUUUUCCUCUAUUGUUCAAACAAUCUAUCAUAUCUGUUUUGUUGAAACCCUGAAACGAAUGGCUUGCUUUCCCACUUCCAUGUAUGAUUAAAUUUUGAAACCUUAUGAUUUUGGGGUUUCUUUGAUGAUGUGGAUUUCGUGUUCAAGUUAAGGCUAUACUGUGGGACCCUGAACUCUCAGACUCACUAUGAGUCCGCAAAUUGAACCUGUAUCUCCUUGCUUAUGAUUCUAAAUUUCUCUUGGAUUAAACUAUGUUCUAAAUAAUUCAACUUUAUCUUCUUGAUUCACAUGUUUGUGUGUUUGAUAUAGGAGAAAUCUUAUUUCAAAAGGUUUUGACAACUACUUGAUUGAUUCUGAAUUCCUUUGAUGGGGUUUUGACUAAUUGCCACUGAUUUUCCUUCGAUUGAACCUCCUCUAACUUUCUUGACUGGAUUCAUCUAAAUGAAGCUUCUAAUUUUGGUUUCAUGACAUUUUAAUUGAUUCCUUUACCAUAUUUGGCACAAACCGUGUACUAUUGAUUAUUUUCCUUAAAUAACUCUUAUGUACUUACCCAUUUUGUUCUAUUUUGAAAGGUUUUUAUCAAAUUUUCUUUCCUUAACUUAUUUUCACCCGUUAAAAUCAGAAUUGCUUAAACCAAGGGAGUCUGAUUUCAUUGACAUCUUGCCUUCUUUAUUUGUUUUCUACACAAUAAAAAGGGUUGCCCUUCUACACUUUCAACACAUGAUCAAUUUGAAUACUUUCAAAAACACUACUUUCAAACACACUCAUUUUUGCAAACACUCGAGUUCUCUCUGAACUCACUCACACAUAAAGUGUUCUCUCUCUAAUUAUGGCUUGUUUGCAAGAAACCUGUUUUCUUUGCUCAGCUUUCUGAAACUGGCAUGUUCUUUGUUUCACUUUUGCCUCACCCCUAUGUGUUUAUAUAUUUCAUUCUUCGUUUGGCUUACUAUUUAUAUGAUGCAACUUCCUGAAAACCUUACUUCUUUCUUUAUUUCUGCUCUUAUAUGAAUCCCUACCCCUAAUUCCCUUUGUAUGGCUGAGCAAUGGUUCAAAAACAUGGCAAUACCUGAAAUUAUUGUCCAUGGAUAUGAAUUGGAUCCUCUGCCCUUGAACUCUUUCAAUUCCCAUCCCCAUUCCCUUUACAUGCAUGUUGAGUUAAGACUUUGGUCUGGCAGUGUCCUAAUCACUGGCCAGCCCAUGGUCUGGCCUUCAAUAGGUCUUUACUCUCAGUUGUUUGGCUGACAGACUGGUCAGGGGUGUGCCAGCCUACCACAUGGCUGGGCAUGACCACCAGCCUGCCUUGACACUCCGUAAUCCCCUCUAUUGCACCUGCACUUGUUCCUAGAACCUAAGUUCUACCCACUUUUUGUGAGCCUUGCCUUGGGACCAAUGAGCUCCCACUGAACUUGGACACUGGAAAGCUGACCUUUUUAUACUGCACUAUAAUUCAGUUCUAUUUAAUAUCCAGGGUGUAAGCACUGCCUCGAGUUCCUGAAACUCCUUGGAACUUUGAAACACCCUAGAUAAGAGAAGGCUUUGGAAAUCUUGAUCCCGGGAGUGGUUCAUCUUAUAUUGUUAGACACAAAAUCUGAGUUAGGUUCCUUGGAUGUACAUGUAGUUUCUGAUGUAAUUUUACUUCCUGUUCAAUUCAUUUAGUUUGUAAUAAUUUCUAAUAAACUCAUGG